This 300-nucleotide unclassified non-coding RNA is filed under the name Phylloporus sp. RNAcentral describes it as "partial contains small subunit ribosomal RNA and internal transcribed spacer 1". The stretch from base 1 to 46 matches the Rfam family "Eukaryotic small subunit ribosomal RNA", at positions 1786 to 1831 of the family's 1831-position model. Lineage: Eukaryota; Fungi; Basidiomycota; Agaricomycetes; Boletales; Boletaceae. The record is from RNAcentral.
AAGUCGUAACAAGGUUUCCGUAGGUGAACCUGCGGAAGGAUCAUUAUCACGUAUCCACGUUAUAAACCAAUUGUGAACUGUCUUUAACCUUUGACGAUCUAGCUGAAUAGACCUACUCAUUGUGUGAUUUUGAGUAACUGUUCGUUUUGUGGUCUGCUUUCGGGCAACACAUGAUAUGGCUUUAUUGUUGAAGUGUAUUUAAAUCACACUUUUAAAACCUAUUAACCACUUGAACCAAAUUAAUUAUUAUCUUUGUUUGAACUGAUUUGUUUCUUACUCGACUAGAAAUAGUUGAGAAGA